CUACGGGUUGCUGCAGUGGGGAAUAUUGCACAAUGGGCGCAAGCCUGAUGCAGCCAUGCCGCGUGUAUGAAGAAGGCCUUCGGGUUGUAAAGUACUUUCAGCGGGGAGGAAGGGAGUAAAGUUAAUACCUUUGCUCAUUGACGUUACCCGCAGAAGAAGCACCGGCUAACUCCGUGCCAGCAGCCGCGGUAAUACGGAGGGUGCAAGCGGUAAUCGGAAUUACUGGGCGUAAAGCGCACGCCGGCGGUUUGUUAAGUCAGAUGUGAAAUCCCCGGGCUCAACCUGGGAACUGCAUCUGAUACUGGCAAGCUUGAGUCUCGUAGAGGGGGGUAGAAUUCCAGGUGUAGCGGUGAAAUGCGUAGAGAUCUGGAGGAAUACCGGUGGCGAAGGCGGCCCCCUGGACGAAGACUGACGCUCAGGUGCGAAAGCGUGGGGAGCAAACAGGAUUAGAUACCCGUGUAGUC
RNAcentral lists this ribosomal RNA (464 nucleotides) under uncultured bacterium. RNAcentral describes it as "partial 16S ribosomal RNA". It matches the Rfam family "Bacterial small subunit ribosomal RNA", at positions 339 to 795 of the family's 1533-position model. The record is from RNAcentral.